Molecule: ribosomal RNA, 459 nt
Filed under: Wolbachia endosymbiont of Phlebotomus perniciosus
Lineage: Bacteria; Pseudomonadati; Pseudomonadota; Alphaproteobacteria; Rickettsiales; Anaplasmataceae
Description: bacterial SSU rRNA
Rfam family: Bacterial small subunit ribosomal RNA
Source: RNAcentral
UUUUACGGGAGGCAGCAGUGGGGAAUAUUGGACAAUGGGCGAAAGCCUGAUCCAGCCAUGCCGCAUGAGUGAAGAAGGCCUUUGGGUUGUAAAGCUCUUUUAGUGAGGAAGAUAAUGACGGUACUCACAGAAGAAGUCCUGGCUAACUCCGUGCCAGCAGCCGCGGUAAUACGGAGGGGGCUAGCGUUAUUCGGAAUUAUUGGGCGUAAAGGGCGCGUAGGCUGGUUAAUAAGUUAAAAGUGAAAUCCCGAGGCUUAACCUUGGAAUUGCUUUUAAAACUAUUAAUCUAGAGAUUGAAAGAGGAUAGAGGAAUUCCUGAUGUAGAGGUAAAAUUCGUAAAUAUUAGGAGGAACACCAGUGGCGAAGGCGUCUAUCUGGUUCAAAUCUGACGCUGAAGCGCGAAGGCGUGGGGAGCAAACAGGAUUAGAUACCCUGGUAGUCCACGCUGUAAACGAUGAA